Molecule: long non-coding RNA, 1750 nt
Organism: Ananas comosus (pineapple)
Lineage: Eukaryota; Viridiplantae; Streptophyta; Magnoliopsida; Poales; Bromeliaceae
Exons: 2
Source: RefSeq, a predicted model, not a curated record
GAUCCUCCUCCUCCCCCCAAAACCCUAGCCCCACAUCGAUCGUUCUCCCUUCCUCUUUCUCUCUCUCUCUCUCUCGCGAGAAACGAUUUGAAUGCUUCAUAGAUGCAAUUGAUGCGUUCAGAUCCCGUUUUAUGUGUAGAUCGCGUAAUUGAUAUCACCAUCUUUUUCCUCUUUUCUGAGGUAUUGAGUAGAUUCGAUUCUCGAGUAGAGUCGUGCUUCGAUUUGAGACGAUCUUAACCUUGCUUUGAAUGGGUAAUGAUUUCUAGGGAGUAUAUGGCAGUUUACAAGUUGUCAAUCCUUUGAGAGGGAAUUCUCAGGGCUAAGCUGUUGGUUAGAUAAAACUUUAAGAAUUUGGGGGGGGGAAUAAGAAGCUACGUGACGUAGAAAUAGCGAUGCUGAUGUUUUGUGAUGCUUCCUCUUCUACACAUUUCCUAGAGACUCUGCUUCCUUUAAUUUUCCUAAGUGGGUGAGCUAACAGCAGUGGGUUUAUAUAGGCGAACUUCUGGGAAGUGAUUCCAUGGCUGCGUCUCAUCUUACCUCUUGACAGGCUAUAUUCAUGUUACUGUAUUCCUGUUAUAUAUGACCUAUGCAAUGUUUGAGACUUAUAAGGAACUUCUAUAUGUCGUAUGGAUAUUUCAUAGUUAUUUAAAGGUGUAUUAAUGUUAAAUCCUGGUUUCAAAAUGCCAUUGUGCGUCGCAUGUGAUGUUUUGACAGCUUUGUAAACCCCAAAAUGAGGUUUUAAAGAUUGAUUAGUCGCAUUAAUUGGCAGACGAACACUAUAGAAUAUGUUGAUUGUUGGUUGCUUUGUGCAUCAACUAGGUUUAGCUGGCGCACAAUUGCAUGUUUCAUGUGUCCAUAAAUGCAUCUUUGGCAUCAUAUAUUUUCGUAAUAUUCCUCUAGCCACUCAUUUAACAAGUUAUUGUAGCCAGGUAAAAUGCUAGGGGCUUUUUUUUUUUUUUUUUGCAAUUCGACCGUUUGGAGAUUUUACUUGCAGCUGUCAUAAGUAUCAGCGGAGUUUUUGUUUUCUGAAAGUUGUCUCAGUAGUAGCAGUUUAUCUCCACAGAUUUCAGAAAAUAGCUGCAAAGCCCCUUAAAUGCUGAUAGAUGAUGUUAAAGCUCUUUUUUUUUUUUUUUUUUACUGUUAUGUUAAAGCAAUUAUUUUGUUCAUUUGCAUUUUUUUUUAUUUGGGUUCUCUCUUUACCCUAAAUGGCAAAGCAAUAUGUUAGAAGAAAAAAGUUUUCAUGAUAUGAUAAAAAAGAUCGCAUAGCGGAGUGGAUAUCGCGUUAGACUCCGGAUCUAAAGGUCGUGGGUUCGAAUCCCACUGCGAUCGAUUGAAACACCUCACGAGUCUUUUUCCUCUUAUAUUUUUCUUAGUUUUGUCUUUCAGACACUGGAAUUUACAUUUCAAGUUGCAGGAUAAUGUUGCGAGUCUCAUAUUAUUUUCCACUUGUGGACAAUGUUGGUCCCCUGCAUCUCUAUCAGUAGCCUCAGUCACAAGCCUGUGCCCCUGUGCUUGUGCUCUAUUUUCUCUCUCCUUUUAUUUGCUUUUGGCUGUGAUUAAGAGAGAAGUUGGCAUUACAUUGAAGUCACCAGGGAAACGGUCAAUGCAUUGUUGAUACUUGAUUGUAACUUGUUUUUAAAUUUUAUUAACAUCUCUUUGGUCUUAGAAGGUCACAUACUCUUCAGUGUGUAAUAAACUCAGAGCACCCCGCAAUCAUUUGCAGCAAUUUUAUGAAGUAUAUAUUAAUAUA